UCUCUGGUCUUUCCUUGACAG
RNAcentral lists this microRNA (21 nucleotides) under Homo sapiens (human). RNAcentral describes it as "hsa-miR-6764-3p". The record is from miRBase by way of RNAcentral. Lineage: Eukaryota; Metazoa; Chordata; Mammalia; Primates; Hominidae.